AACGAACGCUGGCGGCAUGCCUAACACAUGCAAGUCGAACGAGACCUUCGGGUCUAGUGGCGCACGGGUGCGUAACGCGUGGGAACCUGCCCUUAGGUUCGGAAUAACUCCCCGAAAGGGGUGCUAAUACCGGAUAAUUUCUUCGGACCAAAGAUUUAUCGCCUUUGGAUGGGCCCGCGUUGGAUUAGCUAGUUGGUAGGGUAAAAGCCUACCAAGGCUACGAUCCAUAGCUGGUCUGAGAGGAUGAUCAGCCACACUGGGACUGAGACACGGCCCAGACUACUACGGGAGGCAGCAGUGGGGAAUAUUGGACAAUGGGCGAAAGCCUGAUCCAGCAAUGCCGCGUGAGUGAUGAAGGCCUUAGGGUUGUAAAGCUCUUUUACCCGGGAUGAUAAUGACAGUACCGGGAGAAUAAGCACCGGCUAACUCCGUG
Molecule: ribosomal RNA, 433 nt
Filed under: uncultured bacterium
Lineage: Bacteria
Description: partial 16S ribosomal RNA
Rfam family: Bacterial small subunit ribosomal RNA
Source: RNAcentral